This 497-nucleotide ribosomal RNA is filed under the name uncultured bacterium. Its description in RNAcentral is "partial 16S ribosomal RNA". It matches the Rfam family "Bacterial small subunit ribosomal RNA", at positions 28 to 507 of the family's 1533-position model. The record is from RNAcentral.
GAUGAACGCUGGCGGCGUGCCUAAUACAUGCAAGUCGAGCGAACAGACGAGGAGCUUGCUCCUCUGACGUUAGCGGCGGACGGGUGAGUAACACGUGGAUAACCUACCUAUAAGACUGGGAUAACUUCGGGAAACCGGAGCUAAUACCGGAUAAUAUAUUGAACCGCAUGGUUCAAUAGUGAAAGACGGUUUUGCUGUCACUUAUAGAUGGAUCCGCGCCGCAUUAGCUAGUUGGUAAGGUAACGGCUUACCAAGGCAACGAUGCGUAGCCGACCUGAGAGGGUGAUCGGCCACACUGGAACUGAGACACGGUCCAGACUCCUACGGGAGGCAGCAGUAGGGAAUCUUGCGCAAUGGGCGAAAGCCUGACGGAGCAACGCCGCGUGAGUGAUGAAGGUCUUCGGAUCGUAAAGCUCUGUUAUUAGGGAAGAACAAAUGUGUAAGUAACUAUGCACGUCUUGACGGUACCUAAUCAGAAAGCCACGGCUAACUACGUG